GAUGAACGCUGGCGGAGUGCCUAAUACAUGCAAGUCGAGCGGCAGCACGGUCUUCGGACUGGUGGCGAGCGGCGGACGGCUGAGUAACGCGUGGGAACAUGCCCCAAAGUGAGGGAUAAGCUCCAGAAAUGGAGUCUAAUACCGCAUAUGAUCUUCGGAUUAAAGGAUUUAUCCGCUUUGGGAGUGGCCCGCGUACGAUUAGAUAGUUGGUGAGGUAAUGGCUCACCAAGUCGACGAUCGUUAACUGGUCUGAGAGGAUGAUCAGUCAGACUGGAACUGAGACACGGUCCAGACUCCUACGGGAGGCAGCAGUAAGGAAUCUUCCACAAUGGACGAAAGUCUGAUGGAGCAACUCCGCGUGCAGGAUGAAGGCCUUCGGGUUGUAAACUGCUUUUCUAUGUGAAGACUCUGACGGUAGCAUAGGAAUAAGGAUCGGCUAACUACGUGCCAGCAGCCGCGGUCAUACGUAGGAUCCAAGCGUUAUCCGGAGUGACUGGGCGUAAAGAGUUGCGUAGGUGGUUUGUUAAGCGAAUAGUGAAACCUGGUGGCUCAACCAUUCAGACUAUUAUUCGAACUGACAGACUCGAGAGCAGUAGAGGUACCUGGAAUUCCCAGUGUAGGAGUGAAAUCCGUAGAUAUUGGGAGGAACACCGAUGGCGUAGGCAGGGUACUGGACUGUUUCUGACACUGAGGCACGAAAGCGUGGGGAGCGAACCGGAUUAGAUACCCGGGUAGUCCACGCCGUAAACGAUGGAUGCUAGCUGUGGGGGGGUAUCGACCCCUUCCGUAGCGAAGCUAACGCGUUAAGCAUCCCGCCUGUGGAGUACGGUCGCAAGACUAAAACAUAAAGGAAUUGACGGGGACCCGCACAAGCGGUGGAGCAUGUUCUUUAAUUCGAUGGUAAGCGAAGAACCUUACCAGGGUUUGACAUCCUUGGAAUUUUGUCGAAAGACGAGAGUGCCUUUUGGAACCAAGUGACAGGUGCUGCAUGGCCGUCGUCAGCUCGUGUCGUGAGAUGUUUGGUUAAGUCCAUCAACGAGCGCAACCCUUAUGAAUAGUUGGAUUUUUCUAUUCAGACUGCCCCGGUAACGGGGAGGAAGGGGGGGAUGAUGUCAGGUCAGUAUUGCCCUUACACCCUGGGCUAGAAACGUGCUACAAUGGCCGGUACAAUGCGCAGCCAACCCGCGAGGGGGAGCAAAUCGCAUCAAAACCGGUCCCAGUUCGGAUUGCAGGCUGAAACUCGCCUGCAUGAAGUUGGAAUCGCUAGUAAUCGCAGGUCAGCACACUGCGGUGAAUACGUUCCCGGGUCUUGUACACACCGCC
RNAcentral lists this ribosomal RNA (1323 nucleotides) under uncultured bacterium. Its description in RNAcentral is "bacterial SSU rRNA". It matches the Rfam family "Bacterial small subunit ribosomal RNA", at positions 28 to 1394 of the family's 1533-position model. The record is from RNAcentral.